This 394-nucleotide ribosomal RNA is filed under the name Sugiyamaella sp. BG090815.8.6.1.1.2. RNAcentral's name for it is "eukaryotic LSU rRNA". It matches the Rfam family "Eukaryotic large subunit ribosomal RNA", at positions 128 to 527 of the family's 3401-position model. Lineage: Eukaryota; Fungi; Ascomycota; Dipodascomycetes; Dipodascales; Trichomonascaceae. The record is from RNAcentral.
UGACGCAAGUCCGAGUUGUAAUUUGAAGAAGGUAAUUUUUGGGGAGAUGUGAACAAAAGUUCCUUGGAACAGGACGUCAUAGAGGGUGAGAAUCCCGUUUUGUUUACCUCUCUCUCCUUGUAAAAUGCUUUCGAAGAGUCGAGUUGUUUGGGAAUGCAGCUCUAAGUGGGUGGUAAAUUCCAUCUAAAGCUAAAUAUUGGCGAGAGACCGAUAGCGAACAAGUACAGUGAUGGAAAGAUGAAAAGAACUUUGAAAAGAGAGUGAAAAAGUACGUGAAAUUGUUGAAAGGGAAGGGUUUUAAGGGAGACUUGGGAGGUAACGAACAAUUUUCUUUCGGGAAGGUGCACUCGUUGCUUUCUAGGCCAAUAUGGAUUUGAAGAGUGGGAUAAAAGGA